AGAGUUUGAUCCUGGCUCAGGACGAACGCUGGCGGCGUGCUUAACACAUGCAAGUCGAACGGAAAGGCCCUGCUUGCAGGGUACUCGAGUGGCGAACGGGUGAGUAACACGUGGGUGAUCUGCCCUGCACUUCGGGAUAAGCCUGGGAAACUGGGUCUAAUACCGGAUAGGAGCCAUUUUUAGUGUGAUGGUUGGAAAGUUUUUUCGGUGUAGGAUGAGCUCGCGGCCUAUCAGCUUGUUGGUGGGGUAAUGGCCUACCAAGGCGGCGACGGGUAGCCGGCCUGAGAGGGUGGACGGCCACAUUGGGACUGAGAUACGGCCCAGACUCCUACGGGAGGCAGCAGUGGGGAAUAUUGCACAAUGGGCGCAAGCCUGAUGCAGCGACGCCGCGUGGGGGAUGACGGCCUUCGGGUUGUAAACUCCUUUCGCUAGGGACGAAGCUUUUUGUGACGGUACCUAGAUAAGAAGCACCGGCUAACUACGUGCCAGCAGCCGCGGUAAUACGUAGGGUGCGAGCGUUGUCCGGAAUUACUGGGCGUAAAGGGCUCGUAGGUGGUUUGUCGCGUCGUCUGUGAAAUUCCGGGGCUUAACUCCGGGCGUGCAGGCGAUACGGGCAUAACUUGAGUACUGUAGGGGUAACUGGAAUUCCUGGUGUAGCGGUGAAAUGCGCAGAUAUCAGGAGGAACACCGAUGGCGAAGGCAGGUUACUGGGCAGUUACUGACGCUGAGGAGCGAAAGCAUGGGUAGCGAACAGGAUUAGAUACCCUGGUAGUCCAUGCCGUAAACGGUGGGCGCUAGGUGUGAGGGUCUUUUCACGACUUUCGUGCCGUAGCUAACGCAUUAAGCGCCCCGCCUGGGGAGUACGGCCGCAAGGCUAAAACUCAAAGGAAUUGACGGG
Molecule: ribosomal RNA, 898 nt
Filed under: uncultured bacterium
Lineage: Bacteria
Description: bacterial SSU rRNA
Rfam family: Bacterial small subunit ribosomal RNA
Source: RNAcentral